RNAcentral lists this long non-coding RNA (10561 nucleotides) under Homo sapiens (human). RNAcentral's name for it is "HSALNT0161760". The record is from RNAcentral. Lineage: Eukaryota; Metazoa; Chordata; Mammalia; Primates; Hominidae.
AAAAACUGAAAAAGACCCAUAGACGGUGACAUCUGGGGAUUCCCCUAAUACAAUAGCGGGUUCUGGCUGAUCAUCCCACAGGGAAGCCACUCAGCAGCCACACAGUUCCCCUUACGCACACACCCCUAGUAAUCAGCUCUGUUAGUGUAUAAACAUUAAAAUAUGUGCAGACAAUAUCACAAGUCAUACGGGAAAUGGAAAGCAAGACCACAGUGAGGUACAGCUUCAUACCCAUUAAAAUGGCUAUUAUAAUGCAAACAAAAAAAGAUGGAAAAUAACCAUCUGGUACGCAGAUUAUGUUACCUCUGGUCAUAUGCACUAAAGAAGAGGGAGAGAACUCAAGGCCUCAGAACAAGAGAGAAGUCCAGGCCAGGCUCUGGGCAGUAACUAGUCAUGUGGACUCUGAACAAUUACCUCAUCCUUCAUGGCCUCAAUUUCCACAUCUGUGAAAUAAAGGGUCUGGCCAGGAGACACAUAACAGCAUUCUACAUGUAACUGAAGAAAUAGUGCCAUGGAUAGGUGAGGGAGGGUAAUUAAUGGAAUUGCCUCUAGAGGGCAAAUAAGUAACAGAAUUGCCCCCAGUUUCUCCACGGCUUUCUAAAGAGGGGUAAAGACUUGCUGGAUGCCAGAUGUCUUCCAGGGAUCCCAGAGAAUUGGUCUAGGGAGGCAGUGCUUUACUGUAUUAUAGAAGAGGAAUUAAUCACACUAAUUGCUUACUCUGUACUUUUGCUUAACGAUACAAUAUAAACAAAUACAAUGAGAAAUAAUUUUAAAGCAAUCAAAGCGCCUUCAAGUUAUUAAAGCUCCUGAAGAAUCAAACAUUACAUCCAUAUAUAGAAUUAUUAUACGAGGCACAAUUAAUGAUUUGAUUUAUAGAUAUUUUUAUAUAGGUUUGAUAUGCAACAAGUCUAGGGGUAAAAAAUCAAUAAAAUCUGCCUUCUAAUAAGCAGGGGUUUCUGCCUUUUUCUUAAAAAAUAAACUAUUAUAUCAAAAUGGUAAAAAUGAACAUUUUAAAAUAAAAAUUAUCAACAUAUAUUAUCAUUCUGCCUACUGAAUUUUAAUUUAUCCUCAAAGUUCAAAAAAAAAAAACUUCUUUCUCAUGCAGUUUCCCCAUAUCCCUAAUUAGGAUGAAUUAUUGAAGCAUCCUGGGUGAUUCCUGAACACUUUCGAUCCUUCAGUUAUUCAGGUCCAGUUUAAUGGCACCUGAGAACAAUUAUAUACCGAGAACUGUGCUAAACUGACAAAGGCGACCAAAGAGCUUAUACAGGGACAUACCUGUACCCUCACAUCAGCUCCCAAGUCUCCAGAGGGAAACGGAGAGGACAUGAUGAAUCAGCUCUCUUUUUACUGUAUUAUGCUUGGAAAGAUUGUUAUGGAGACACAGAAGACAGAUAAAUCAACCUUGCCUGGAAAACUGGAAAAAGGUUCAAACAGGAGGCAAAUUUAGACCAAUAUGUAUCAAGAACUCGUUGAUUCUUACAGGAGGAGGAUAUUACCAGACAGACAAGUGAAAUGACAAAGCCAUUCUAGAAAUAGAAAAGGUAAGGAAAAGAAUCAAGAAGUGGAAGUUAAAGGCCAGCUCUGGGUGCUUUGUGACCAGAGCCCAGUUGGCAGUGGGAAGAUUUAUGUUCUAUACUAAGGACGUUCUCUGUAAUGACAAUCCACCCUGUUGCACUAAUAAUUUAAGAGCAUUUAUAUGAAUAUAUACAAUUCAGGGAAAGAUAAAGAGAAAAAAUUGCUAUCAACUCUGUGCAGAUUUGGAAACUGGUAUCAAAGGAACAGUUUCAGCUGCAUUUCUUUGUCUAGAAAGUUUCAUUUAAAAAUGUAGUCUACUAACUUGAGCCUCAAUUUUUGGCAAUAAACUAAAAAACGCUACACAAACCAUCACAGAAUUCACUUUGUCCUUGCAGGAAAGAAAAAAGAAGAAAACAAACCUCCAUGUGAGAGGGGGUCUAAAAGAACUCUCCAAACCUCCAUGAUUUUGCAAGAGACAAGACAAGGGUAAUUACCUGCAGCACCUGGACCCAUCUAGAUUAACUAAAUUUAAUGAGGCUCCAGAGGAAGGUCUUCAAGACUCAGACCUUAGUUAUGAUUAGAAAUUAAUCACCUGUGUCUUCAGAUAGCCCCCGUUCCAUGUUUAGAGAGAGAUCUUUGAGCACCCAUCUUCAUUCAUUUGAGAACAGGGUCACUGAGAGGGAGUCUCUGAGGUCACAGAGUGUAUUAGUUCACUUUCACACUGCCGUGAAGAAACACCCAAGACUGGGUGAUUUAUAAAGGAAAGAAGUUUAAUUGAGUCACAGUUCCACAUGGCUGGGGAGGCCUCAGGAAAUUUACAAUCACGGUGGAAGGGGAAGCAAACAUGUCCUUCUUCAUGUGGCAGCAGGAGAGAGAAGUGCAAAACGAAGAGGGGAAAGGUCACUUAUAAAACCAUCAGAUCUCGUGAGAACUCAUUCACUUUCACGAGACGAGCACGUGGGAACCACUCCCAUGAAGUAAUCACCUCCCAUGAGGUCUCUCCCCCAAAACGAGGGGAUUACAAUUCAAAAUGACAUUUGGGUGCAGACACAGAGCCAGACCAUAUUACAGAGCCAGAAGAGCUGAGCAGUGGGCACUUAGUAAAUGUUCAUUAAACGAAACCCCUAAACAAGGCUGGCUUCAUAGAGGUGCCACCUGUGCAAUGGCAAAAGCCCCACAUUCAGAGGGGACCUGAACUUGGUUUAAUGCUAUGUUGUCACUGCCUUCAAAUUCUUAACAUUUUUUGAACAAAUGACUCCAUUUUCAGUUCACACCGGGUCCUGCAAAUUAUGUACCCAGUCCUGCCCCUGAAACAAAGAUAUGGUUUGUUCAUGAAGGGGCUCCCUCGACCCUUCCCUGUGCAUCUCACUCCAAGAUGCCCUAAGUAAAAGGGAACAAAGAGCUAGGAGAAGGUAGUAGUUGAUGAUGAUCUUGGAGGUCCCACCUGAUCAUGGCUGGCGAUGCAUAUGUGUGGGUGGGAGAAUUUGGUUGCUCUCUCCUGGCAGCCUCCAUCCCAUGCAGAAGGCCUGCACUUUGCCUGUCUGUCCCCCUAUGUCCUCUACCUGACUCAGGAGUGUGGAUGGGGGAGGGGAGGCAUUGGGCCCAGUGCUCCUGGUCCCAGCUGGAGUUCUCUGUUGAUCUGGGAGAUUUGGCUCCUCUGACUACUCCUACCCCAUCGCCAUUAGGACAGGAGUUGGUGAAGGGGACAGGGUGGGAGGCUUAAUUAGCAGCCAGGGCCAGGCAGCAGGCAGUGGGGCAAAGAUCAGGCUGACUUUUCCUGCUACAGAUCUGCUCUCUGGAAGAGGCAUUCAUGGACUGGCUUAAGCUGUGGCUUGGCUAUUUUAGGAAUAUUCUUAACCCUUCCUGAGUCACUGCUGUCAUCAGACUUCUCUCCCAGGGCGCAGAGCACCAGACUGUUCCCUCUCCCUGUCCCCUUCUCCCCAGUCCCUGCUUUCCUCCCUGGCAGCUGAGAAGGUCAGAGUUUUCUCAGGGGUGGGGCAAGUUGACUUCUGCCAAGGAAAACUCCCGGGUCCCUGAGUCCCCUUCUUUGUCCUGCCCUGUGACUUUUCCCUCUUCAUCACAGCUCUGGACUCAGCCAAGUGGCACAAUGGGCAUCACCUCAGCCCUUCUCAUCUUAUAAAAUUGGAACCUCAGACUCUCUCAUCUGAAAACAGCUGAUUUGUAUCCCAAGAGUAAGAUGGGAAGCUGUAGUCCUGACUUCAAACCUCUGGCAGAGCAGGAGCCCCUGCGUGCCUGGCUUUGAUGCCCCAUUAGGGGCAAGUUUCCACAGCCAGAACCCCUCAUGGGGUUCCCUCUGCCUGUUUUUUCCUCCACUCCAGGUCCUUCCCAGAGUCUGGCUUCUUGGAAAAGCCCAGGCCAGGAUAUAGGCAUUACCUAUGUAAGGCCAAGGGGAGUCCCACUGCCGGCCAGAAGGGCUCAACAUCAAUAUAUCUGAAAUUCAAGCCAUACAGGGGGAAGAGAUAUUGGCUCAGUGUCAAGGGUUUCUGUGUCCACGCUAGGCUUGCCUGAGCUGGGAGGCCCAGGACAUCUGGGCUUUGUGAUGCCUUCUGACACUAGGAGUUGGAGUUUGCCACCAACUGCUAUUGGGAAAGCUUGACUUGGUGAUACAGGCGUAAUGCUGAUGAUGCCACACAAAUGCCCAAGGGCCUAUAGUGUGCCUGACACUGUCCUGGGCAAUGGGUAUAGAGGAUCAAUAAUCAUUCUCUUCCUGAGAAAGGAAGCUCUCCUGGGCUGGUUAACCAGGCAUCUGGCCACAAGCCUGGUCUAGUGUUGAUGGGCUCCAGCAAGUGAGUCAUCCCAACUAAUUCCCCCUCUUCCAGGUUAUCACAACAAGCCCAGCUCCAGAAGUGAAAGAGCUGGCUGCAGAUGGGGGUGAGGCCAGAUGAAAAUGCUUUCGCUCCCCUCAACGGCUGCAGAGGGGGCUCUUGCAAAGGGGGUCAUUGAACUGCAGUUUCUUCUGUCUCCAAUCCAGAAAGAGCCUGAUGGAUUGAUAAAGGUGUCCUGGGAAAGAUUUUCAGUUCAAAGAGACAAUCCCCUCCAGGAACUCCAGAAGAAUUUUGUCUGGCGUUUAAAGAGUAAGAAGCUGCUGGGUGUGGCAGCUCACACCUGUAAUUGUUGUGCUUUGGGAGCUACAGGCAGGAGGAUCACUUGAGGCUAGGAGUUAGAGAACAGCCUGGGCAAUACAGUGAGACGCUCCCCACUACAAAAAAAGCAAGAAUACCCCUCUCUUUACCCCUACUUGAGAGACGUGACUAGAAGGCAGAAAGCUGGCUGUUGACGGGGGAGUCUCUCUCUUCAGGCAGAGGUAGGGCUGCUUCCUGGGACAGAGGCAUAGAUGGUAUUUCUGGCUCUGCAGUUCCUGAUGAAGACAUACUGGGGCACCCAGGCUAACCUUUGGCAAAACUAGGAGCGGAACUCAGGAGUCCCUGAUGCCAGCCUCGCUGAUGCGAUCCCCCCUCCCCUCCCCCAUGUGUCUUGCUCCCUAGCUCCCUCCCCACCAGCUUCCAGGCCAGGACCCCCAGCUGGCUGGUGGAGGAUGUCUUCCUCCUCAGCAGCUAGGAUUUUUAAGUAUUUAUAGGAACAUGGAACAGAUCAGUGGCUGACAGGCCCAAGGAGCGUGCAGGCCCCUUCCCAGAGGUCAGCAGCUUCACUCCCCCUUCCUGCACCCCAUCCUGAUUUGACGGAACCCAGGAUGACAAAGAGGGAGUAGGUGAGCAAGGUAUGGGGUGGCAGCCUCCAUAGGAGCUCAAAGGAUGUAUUUGUCCAUCUGCCCUGGGCUCAGCUUCCACACUCCGAGUCACUCACAUCCCUCCACCCUAGCCGGAGCUCACCUGUGUGCCCACAUGACCAAGACCACACUGACCCCAAAUGUACAGUUUCAACUCUCAACAAUUCACUGUCACACUCACGUGUGUACACACAUGCUUUCUAAAUUCCACAGCCACAUGGAUGCUCACAGGCUCACACCUUUGCACACACACAGGCUCACUCACAGACCUACGGGGGGCCCAGAUCCCGGUCAUUCCCCACAGGUCUUUAUAAGGGUUCUGGGAGGGAAACUUGUUUCCUGUCUAAGGUAGGGUGGGAGUGUGUGUGUGGGGGGGGAACGAGAGUGAAUGUGAGAGUGCAUGUAUGUUAGUGUGGGUGUGUAUGUGUGUAAGGAGCAGGAGUGACUGGGUCCUGAGUUUAGGGAGUGGGGAAGAGAAAGGAGAGAUGGAGACAAGCGUGGACCAAGAGACACUCAGAGCUGACAUCCUGGAAGGGAAGCCAGGCUGAGAUAAGAGCAAGGCAAAGAAAUAGACACCGACAAGGAUCAAGCCAGGGCGGGGUAGGGACUGGGGACAGAUCCCGCCCCCAUGAGAAGCUGUCACAUUGUUGCUCAGGUGGCCUGUGACAGCAGCGCCAUCUCCAGCUGGAGCCUCCCCUCUCUGGAUCUUGUCAUUGUAACUUUGCUUUGCUACUUGGGCAGCCAGGAGUGGUGACAGGCAGGGAAUAUGGUGCCCAGGGCAGUUAGCCAUGCCACUCCAGUCCGGCUGCCAACCCACCUGUCACUGCCCAUCUCAACACCUGUGGGGGUGGGGGUGGGUACAGAUGAAACCGGCGAUCAGCUUGGCUACCCUUGCCUCCUAGUGCCACAGUGGAGGCUAGGGGAGCAACCGGCCUUCCUCCCCAAAAGGUGGUCAGGGUUAACCGCACUUUGCCCAGGUCACUGAAGCCUGCAGCUGAGCUUGGGGAGAAUGGGCCGUCUCUGCUCCCAGGCACCCAGGAACUACUGGAGAGAGACAGGAACCAGCCUAUGAGACAGGGGCUUAAGGAGGAGGUUGGAGAAGACACGCGUUUGGCAUAAACCGGGGGCCCCUCUCUGCGCUCACCGAGCCGGCGGCCUGGGCGGUGCUGAGCCUGCCCCUGGCGGCGUUCGCCUGGGACAGCGCCUGAGCGGUGGCCGAUCCCACCUGGAUGUCCCGGGUCGGCUCCCACCCCACGCCGUCCCCGGCCGCAGUGGGGAGAUGCUCGCGCUGGUCCUUGCCAUACUUGGCUGCUGCCGGGCUCGGGGUCCCGCGUCGUACACGCCCCAUCAGCCCUGGCCACCGCUCCUGAGGGAACGCCCCGGGGAGCCCUUCCGGGCCCCGACGGCUGCGGGCCCCGGAGCCAAGAGAAGAAGCAGGUCCCAGGGCCGACUCCGCAGCAGCAUCUCCAGCUUUGUCCGGGAAGCAGAGGCCGCCGCCGGCCACAGUCGUGGGUGAGAAGAAGGGCGCGAGGCGGCCGGGGCUCCUGCCGGGCACCCCAAGUACGCGCCGGGCUUCUCCAUGACAGCUGCGGCCCGGGCUGCCUGGGGCCUGGGACUCCGGCGCGGUCCGGCCGCGAGAAAGGCAGGCGCUGCCCCAGUGGGGAAGGGGCAAGGCUGCGGCUCCGGCCACCGGGCGGGGGCACAGAAACGACCCCGGCGCCGUCUGAGCGCCCAGCUCCGUUCCUGCCGCGGCCAAAAGACACCCGAGAGCGCCGGCGGCUGGGGGACCACAGGGCCCUGGAACUCACCAGGCGGCCUCGCGGCGCAAAAGCGGGCGGAGCCAGAGAAGGGGCUCGGCUAGGCGGCCACGCUCCCUCCCCGGAGGGCGGCGGGACUCGGAUUUCGCCUCUGGUUUAAAAAUUGUGCCUGCGGAGCCCAGGACGCUGGGAGGAGCGUUCUGCGCUCCUCCGGUCGCGGUCUCCGCACUAAACCGACUUCCAGAGCCGCCUCUGCUCCCUGUAGUGGCGGAGGGGCGGGCACCGAAGUCCCACCAAGUCGCAGGUCCUCAGCCUGGGGCAUGCUUGCUAUGCUCCGGAUGCAGGGGGGUACUCUGCCUCUCUGCUCCCUGGGGGCCAAGGCGUGCGCUGCAGGCUGGAGCUGCGGCUCCGAGGCUUCCAGGAGCCCCGGCCCCGCCGUCGGUGGAGAAACGCUGGGGGCUUCGAGGUCGCGGCUUCCGGAAAUCCGGUUACUGAGCGGAGUUGGGGGUCAGGUUCCAAAGGGAUAGCGCCCCGGGUUGUAAUCACCAUCUGGCCCGCCGCUCCUGCCGCCGCGAGUCUACAGCGGAGCUAUUGGGUGGACCAAGCGGCACCCCUCCAGGCCCAGUUCGCUUCAGAGGCGCGAGACCCGGAAAACAAGGAAGAAGCGAGCUCAGCCUCAAUCCCCGUCCCCACCCCACUUUCGGGGCCGCUGCGCUGGAGAAUUGAAGGGGGCGGACCCCGGAUUAAAGCCGCUCCCUUCCCAGCCUCGCUCCUCUUUCCUUCUGUCCGUGAUGAUUUCUUUAUUGUCAGGCGAGAGCCAGGCUCCCCGCGCUCACGGGACCGGGCGGUUGGGAGCGGGUUCUGGAGCUCACGCCUGGCGUCGGCGGAGGUGACCCCAGCGCCCUCGCCCGUGCAGGGGAAACAGCUGGUUCCCGCCCGGAUGGGGAAACCUGGACUGCGUGGGCUCGGGCGCCUGGCAGGCAUGCGGGGCCUCUAAGGCUUGGCCACUGUCACGGGUCCUGUGGUUGUUGCUUCUCCCCUCGCCACGCCCUUCUCCUGGGACGGAGAUUCAUUCCCUGGCGGGUGUCGGGGACCUGGGCGCAGAUUCAUUCCCUGGCUGUUGUAGAAGCUCCUGGGACAAGCCGUGAAGUCUCCGCAGGAGGCUUCAGAGAUAUACUAGGCGGCUGCUCAGUUCGCCAAGGACUUUUCCAUUGACUCACAAGCGCCGCCUGGAGGAGGAGGCCGCGCUGGACGCGCCGGCGGCGCCUUUGCCUGGGGGAGCGCAGCCCGGAGCUGUGGCGUGGCCGCGCUGGGAGCGGCGUGUCAGAGGCUGGGCCUGGGGACCCGAGGUUGGGCGGGGCGCAGGAGGUGGGCUCAGGGCUCUCCAGAGCACUCCCCUGAGCUGACCCGCAGGACUGCCGGGCCAGUAGGCACGGGGCCCGCGCGGUGACCUGCGGCCUCGAGGCUGGAGCAGCCACUGCAAACGCCGCGCUGGCCCCAAACACUGCGUCCUUGAAAUGUUUUAAUUAAGAAUAAUUAAUAGGGCCGGGAGUGGAGGCUCAAGCCUGAAUCCCCAGCACCUGGCGAGGCCGAGGAGGGAGGAUCCCUUGAGCCCAGAGGUUCAAGACUAGCCUGGGCAACACAGUCAGACUCCAUCCCUACAAAACAAACAAACGAAAAUAAAACAAACGAAACGAAAUGAAAUUAGCCCGGCGUGGUGGCGCGGGCCUGUGGUCCCAGCUCCUCGGGAGGCUGAAGCAGGAAGAUGGCUUGCGACCGCACCACUGCGCUCCAGCCUGGGAGACAGAGCAAGACCCUGUCUCGAAAAAUGUGUAUGUCUGGGUAAAUGUAUAGAUUUUAAAACUAUUUUGAAGGCGGCCUUUUUAACUCUAAACUGACCACUCUGGAGGAGACGCCUGACCCAGAGCGCUUUCCCUAAAGUUCGGUGCCCAAAGUGCACCUUCCCAUGGUUGGGGUCUCUGCCUUUCGCCAAGCCUUGCCUCUUGCAGAGGUGGGCUCCAUAGUGUCUCCCGCUCCGCCCCAACUGGAGAACAGUGUAAAUUGUCGGCCGGGCGCGGGACCUCAUGCCUGUAAUACCAGCACUUUGGGUGGCUGAGGCGGGCAGAUCGCUUGAGGUCAGGAGGUCGACACCAACCUGCCUAAACAUGGUGAAACCCCGUCUCUACUAAAACUACAAAAAUUAGCCGGGCGUGGUGGCGGGCGCCUGUAAUCCCAGCUACUCAGGAGUCUGAGGCAGCAGAAUUGCUUGAAUCCGGGAGGCGGAGGUUGUAGUGAGCCGAGAUCGCGCCACCGCACUCCAGCCUGGGCAACAAGAGUGAGACCGCGUCUUAAAAAAAAAAAAAAAAAAAAAAGAAUUGUCAACCAGAGGGAGCGGCAAUUCAGAAGCACGCUGAAGCCAAGUCCUCAAGACUAGAAAGCAUGAAGCAGGGGAGGCGUUUUGAAAGCUUAAGGACAAAAGACCAUGGGCCUGGAUGGCUGAUUCCGGGAUCGGCAUCGUAAUUUGUUGAGAAGGAGGCCGUGCUGUGCUGCCAGUUAUUAAUGGGUUUAAUCGGUUGAUACACAGCCCUACUGGCCUAACCAGUAGCCCAGGGCCCGAGAGGAUUUGCAGGUCGUGUCAGAAUUUGAUUGAAGUUCCUUCCACUUGGCAUAAGGAGACACCAUCAGCCUGAUUGAGAGGGUCAUGGUGAGAUGGAGCCCGCCAAGGUGGCAGCGCUGAGCUGACCACGCCACGGACCAUAGAGUGGGAGCCUUUCCUGCCCCCUUAACCGCAGCUAACAUCAAAAGCACUGGUAUGGGCUGUCUAACUGGAACCUGAGUUGGUCUUUGUAAUUACGAUUCUUUUGGGUUUAUUUUGCCAGUUCAUUAUCCACCCCCCUGAAAUCAGGCCUCCCAAAUUUAGCAGGUGCUGGGGAGGACCCCAGGGAGUGGCUUGUGGGGGCUAGCUGGUGAAACUACCCUUUCCUUUCUGUUCUAUGAGUGUGAUGGUGUUUGAGAAAUAUGGGGCUAUGGUUCAGGCGCACUUCACAUGUGCAAAGAUGGAGAAAGCACUCACCUGCACAUUUAGGCUCAGAAUAUUGAUUGAAACAUUUUGAAAUAUCAAAAAUAAAAUGUUAUUUUUAAAGUUUCUCUGAGAUUUCGCUUAAGUUUUGGUAGAUAUUCUUAAAUUUUAGUGACCUCAGUUUGGGAAUUCAGUAAGCCAAAUAUUGUAUCCUUAUUAUUAGUUAUAUAGAACUAUGCCUUAGACUUUGUUAGAAACUUCUGCUUCAGCUUGACUGACUCAUUUUCCAUUUCUGGUUGUACAAAAUGAACUGACACUUUAAUGCUGUGGCCACCUUUAAAUAAAGUACAAUGUGACAAAAAAAUACAAAUGUUUUCAGAGAUAAAUGCAUUCUUUGACAUCUGAGGUUACAGCAAAUCUAUUCUUCGCCUGCUUGCUUGUUCAGAGUUGUAAUAUUUGCUUUGGUGUAGAGCUGAAGACACAAAUUGGUAACCAGUGGAAUUAUAUGGCCUCAGACUUAUU